This is a small nuclear RNA of Pteronotus mesoamericanus, 102 nucleotides long. NCBI's taxonomy places the organism in Eukaryota, Metazoa, Chordata, Mammalia, Chiroptera, Mormoopidae. The record is from RefSeq and is a predicted model, not a curated record.
GUGCUUGCUUCUGCAGCACAUACACUAAACUUGGAUGAUUCAGAGAUUAGCGUGGCCCAUGUCAAGGAUGAUAAGCAAAUUCAUGAAGUGUUCCAUAUUUUC